GCGGCCCCAAGUCAGGCGAGGCCCACCCGCCGA
This 33-nucleotide ribosomal RNA is filed under the name Renealmia aromatica. Its description in RNAcentral is "partial 26S ribosomal RNA". Lineage: Eukaryota; Viridiplantae; Streptophyta; Magnoliopsida; Zingiberales; Zingiberaceae. The record is from RNAcentral.